RNAcentral lists this non-coding RNA (109 nucleotides) under Methylobrevis pamukkalensis. RNAcentral describes it as "Glycine sequence". It matches the Rfam family "Glycine riboswitch aptamer". Rfam says of the family: This family represents the bacterial glycine riboswitch. Glycine riboswitches usually consist of two metabolite-binding aptamers domains with similar structures in tandem. The record is from Rfam by way of RNAcentral. Lineage: Bacteria; Pseudomonadati; Pseudomonadota; Alphaproteobacteria; Hyphomicrobiales; Pleomorphomonadaceae.
AUACGUCGUGCGGGAGAGAUCGUCCGCCGCCCCCUUCAAGGGUGCGCGCUGACGGCGCCGAAGGAGCAACCGCCCCGGAAACUCUCAGGCAAACGGACCGCCGACGAAG